GGGCGGUUGCUGAAAUUGGUAGACAGGACGGACUUAGGAUCCGUUGGUUGUAAAACCGUGAGAGUUCGAGUCUCUCACCGCCCACCA
RNAcentral lists this transfer RNA (87 nucleotides) under Thermogemmatispora sp. Its description in RNAcentral is "tRNA-Leu". It matches the Rfam family "tRNA". From Rfam's summary of the family: Transfer RNA (tRNA) molecules are approximately 80 nucleotides in length. Their secondary structure includes four short double-helical elements and three loops (D, anti-codon, and T loops). Further hydrogen bonds mediate the characteristic L-shaped molecular structure. tRNAs have two regions of fundamental functional importance: the anti-codon, which is responsible for specific mRNA codon recognition, and the 3' end, to which the tRNAs corresponding amino acid is attached (by aminoacyl-tRNA synthetases). tRNAs cope with the degeneracy of the genetic code in two manners: having more than one tRNA (with a specific anti-codon) for a particular amino acid; and 'wobble' base-pairing, i.e. permitting non-standard base-pairing at the 3rd anti-codon position. The record is from RNAcentral. Lineage: Bacteria; Bacillati; Chloroflexota; Ktedonobacteria; Thermogemmatisporales; Thermogemmatisporaceae.